CCUACGGGUGGCUGCAGUGAGGAAUAUUGGUCAAUGGGCGUAAGCCUGAACCAGCCAAGUCGCGUGAGGGAUGAAGGUUCUAUGGAUCGUACACCUCUUUUAUAAGGGAAUAAAGUGUGGGACGUGUCCUAUUUUGUAUGUACCUUAUGAAUAAGGAUCGGCUACCUCCGUGCCAGCAGCCGCGGUAAUACGGGGGAUCCGCGCGUUAUCCGGAUUUAUUGGGUUUAAGGGGUGUGUAGGCGGCCUUUUACUACGUCGGGGCAAGUCUGUGGCUCAAUGAGAGAUUUGCCGGUGAAACGGGGGGGUUUGAGUCUGUUUGGGGCGGCCGGAUUGCUGGGGUUAGCGGUGAAAUGUUUAGAUA
Molecule: ribosomal RNA, 361 nt
Filed under: uncultured bacterium
Lineage: Bacteria
Description: partial 16S ribosomal RNA
Rfam family: Bacterial small subunit ribosomal RNA
Source: RNAcentral